AUUUAUAAAAGAAAAAUAUGGAUCUAAGUGGAUAGCUUUAACUGAAAACUAGCAAAAAACAACAUAUAAGAAAAAAAAAACCAACACUAACUAGCUUUUAUACACCACAACAAAACCCACCCUGGUUUCAUCAAAACAGGUCUUUUCCCCAAAAAUAUCCCAAAAACCCCAUCAUUUUGUUUUCGCCUGAAGAGCUUUUUCCAUUUACACAGAUGAGGGGGGGGGGGGGGAAGAGAUUCUUUGUUCCCCGUUCAAAAUUUUAAGGGAAUGAUUUAUUAUAUAGAGAGAGAGAGAGAGAG
This 299-nucleotide unclassified non-coding RNA is filed under the name Hevea brasiliensis (rubber tree). The record is from RNAcentral. Lineage: Eukaryota; Viridiplantae; Streptophyta; Magnoliopsida; Malpighiales; Euphorbiaceae.